CCUACGGGAGGCAGCAGUGGGGAAUCUUGCGCAAUGGGCGAAAGCCUGACGCAGCAACGCCGCGUGCGGGAAGAAGGCUUUCGGGCUGUAAACCGCUUUCAGCAGGAACGAAAAUGACGGUACCUGCAGAAGAAGGAGCGGCCAACUAUGUGCCAGCAGCCGCGGUGAUACAUAGGCUUCAAGCGUUGUCCGGAUUUAUUGGGCGUAAAGAGUUCGUAGGCGGUCGAGUAAGUCGGGUGUGAAAAUUCUGGGCUCAACCCAGAGACGCCACCCGAUACUGCUUGACUUGAGUUCGAUAGGGGAGUGGGGAAUUCCUAGUGUAGCGGUGAAAUGCGCAGAUAUUAGGAGGAACACCGGUGGCGAAGGCGCCACUCUGGAUCGAUACUGACGCUGAGGAACGAAAGCAUGGGUAGCAAACAGGAUUAGAUACCCUGGUAGUCCAUGCCGUAAACGGUGGGCACUAGGUGUGGGUUUCUAUUAACGAAAUCCGCGCCGUCGCUAACGCAUUAAGUGCCCCGCCUGGGGAGUACGGUCGCAAGACUAAAACUCAAAUNAUAGAGNGNGAGAGNGCGACGACGACACGAGGAGAG
Molecule: ribosomal RNA, 590 nt
Filed under: uncultured bacterium
Lineage: Bacteria
Description: bacterial SSU rRNA
Rfam family: Bacterial small subunit ribosomal RNA
Source: RNAcentral